GUUUCAGGGCGAGGUGAAAGUCCUCACCGGCGGUAUAGUCCGCGAACGCACCCGGGCUGAGAGAGCUUCGGUGCGCCGAUCAGGUGUAAUUCCUGAACCGACGGUUAUAGUCCGGAUGGAAGAAA
This 125-nucleotide non-coding RNA is filed under the name pig gut metagenome. RNAcentral's name for it is "FMN riboswitch (RFN element)". It matches the Rfam family "FMN riboswitch aptamer (RFN element)". From Rfam's summary of the family: The RFN element is a highly conserved domain that is found frequently in the 5'-untranslated regions of prokaryotic mRNAs that encode for flavin mononucleotide (FMN) biosynthesis and transport proteins. This element is a metabolite-dependent riboswitch that directly binds FMN in the absence of proteins. The record is from RNAcentral.